Macaca mulatta (Rhesus monkey) is the source of this 1761-nucleotide non-coding RNA. Lineage: Eukaryota; Metazoa; Chordata; Mammalia; Primates; Cercopithecidae. The record is from RefSeq and is a predicted model, not a curated record.
CUUUGGCCUCCCAAAGUGCUGGGAUUACAGGCAUGAGCCACCGCACCUGGCUAAUAUUACUGUACAAGUUUUGUGUGUACAAGAGCAUGGCGGCGCGUGCCUGUAAUCCUGCUAUUUGGGAGGCUGAGACAGGAGAAUCUCCUGAACUCUGGGAGGAGGAGGUUGCAGUGAGCCGAGAUUGUGCCACUUUUUAGAGUACUAAAAAGUAGGAUGGAGUUUCACGAUGAGCCACCGCGCCCCGCCUGUGUGAACAUAUGUUUCAAUUCUCUUGGGUAUAUUCUCUCUAGGAGUAGAACUGCUGAAGCAUAUGGUAGCCCUAUGUGUAACUUUUUGAGUAACAGCAAGGCUGUUUUCCAAUGCGGCUGAGCUAUUUUACAUUCUCACCAGUCAUGUCUGAGGGCUGUCAUUUCUCUAUAACCUUUCCAAACUUUGUUCUUUUCUGUCUUUUUUAUGACAGCCAUUUUAAUGGGUGUGAAGUGGCAUUAUAUUCCAGUUGUGAAUUGUGGUUUCCCAUCUUUUCUUGUGCUCGUGGCCGUUUUUAUUACAUAGUUAUUUUAAUAAUAUAUUUCCAAUUUCAGUUUAAAAACUAGUGUCUGAGCAAUCUCUAAAGCUGAUCGGUACGUUUUUAAAGUGUUGUAAAAACUCAUGAGUUUUAAUGUAUUUAACAUGUUUUGAUCACUACUCUCUAUUAUUUAUUUACUUAUUUUUAUUUUUUUAAAUUUAUUUAUUUAUUUUGAGACAGAGUCUCGACCUGUCACCAGACUGAAGAGCAGUGGGGUGAUCUCAGCUCACUGCAACUUCCGCCUCCUGGGUUCAAGCAAUUCUCCUGCCUCAGCCUCCUGAGUAGCUGGGACUACAGGUCAUGAAAGUCAAGCCAAGACUGAAGAACUGUUCCAAACUGAAUGAGACUAAAAUGAACUGGAUCCUUUGGGACAACUGGAGAAACCUGAAUGGAGUCUGAGGACUGUUCGUGGAAGCAGAACAGUGCUAAUUUCCCACUUUUGAUGGUUGCAUUGUAUUUUUAAAGGAGAGUGUUCUUAUUUGUAGGAAGCACACACUUAAGGCUUUGUGGGGUGAUGCGUAUUAUGUCAAUUUACUCUCAAAUGAUUCCGGGGGACAAGUGCUUUGUUCUAUCUUUACACUUUUCUGUAACGUUGUGAUUGUCCAAAACAUUUUUGUCAAGAGAACAAAAAAUCAGCAUGGUUGGAUCUGGCCCCUGUCACAAAUUACAGACUUAGAAUGUACACGUGUAUUAUUUUGUAAUCGGUUUAUUCAGAUUCCAACAAUGAGAAAUGCUCCACAUAAAUGCCAGAGUUUGCUGUAUAGCUUAAAUAAACUGAUUGAAAAAGAAAGGCAUGUCCCAGUUACUUUCACAUAUGAAAACAGGAAGUAUAACUUAGUAUAGCCACUAGAAAAACAUAUAGUCUGCUUUUUAUUAAAAAAUUUUAAAAAGCCAUCCAUUAGGUCAAUAAUUAGUAAAUUAAACCCAUCAUUUUCUUUUGCACAUGUAUUUGUCAUGGAAUCUCCAGGUAAAAAUCUUGUCUGACAGACAAGGUCAGCUCAGGUGGUUUAGUAAUCUAAGAAAUUCGAAUAUUUGGGCCUACCUUGAGCUCUUCUUUGUGCCUUGGGGCAUGGGUCCUGGGGCCUUCAUGCCCAUCUGACUCAUUUGUUGUCAUGCAUCGCUCCUCCCUGACAUUGGUUUGUGCUGGUUACAUCUUAAAAGUCUGUCUUAGAAGUAACUUCUUUUUUUUUUUUUUUUUU